GAGCAACUCCUGGUAUAACUGAAGAAACUGGUGAGACUAUGGUAGGAGAAGCUGACGAGAUCAAACUUGAAGCUGAACUUGUAGUUGGCUCGUUUCCCAAGCUCUCAACUCUUGCGAACUGUGGUGUUGAACAAAGUAGUUGAGGUGGAACAGCACUAUAAACUUUUGGCAGAGGUGGAACAGCUCCAUACACCUGAAGUGGAGGUGGAACGGCUCCAUAGACCUGUGGGGGAGG
Molecule: long non-coding RNA, 235 nt
Filed under: Cucumis sativus (cucumber)
Lineage: Eukaryota; Viridiplantae; Streptophyta; Magnoliopsida; Cucurbitales; Cucurbitaceae
Description: long non-coding RNA (CSAT_LNC001445)
Source: RNAcentral